UACGUAGGAUGCAAGCGUUGUCCGGAAUUAUUGGGCGUAAAGCGAACGUAGGCGGUUUCUUAAGAUUGGUCUUAAAGACCGGGGCUCAACCCCGGGAAUGGAUCGAUAACUGGGAGACUGGAGGACAUCAGAGGAAAGUGGAAUUCCGAGUGUAGCGGUGAAAUGCGUAGAUAUUCGGAGGAACACCAGUGGCGAAAGCGACUUUCUGGGACGUUCCUGACGCUGAGGUUCGAAAGCUCGGGGAGCAAACAGG
RNAcentral lists this ribosomal RNA (253 nucleotides) under uncultured bacterium. Its description in RNAcentral is "partial 16S ribosomal RNA". It matches the Rfam family "Bacterial small subunit ribosomal RNA", at positions 524 to 776 of the family's 1533-position model. The record is from RNAcentral.